CAAAUAUACUGUGUUUUUUAAAGGACAAAAGGUGCUUUAAUUUGAUACAAAUUCUCAUUUAUAUUAAAAAAAAAUCUUCUUUUCUGUUUUGACAAUAAUAAGUUGUGCAUAAUUAGUGCAGGUUAAGAAAAACUAUUCAGAAUUAAUUAAUCCAUUUGUCCUGAUUUGCAGAGUACACAGGCACACAAGGACGCCGCAACAUGUUUUGUCUGGGCUAUGAUUAUAGCAAUGGGAAACAUUUCUGCUAAACAGGGGACCCGGUCAGGUGC
This is a non-coding RNA of Pelobates cultripes (western spadefoot toad), 269 nucleotides long. The record is from the annotation of a GenBank genome assembly. Lineage: Eukaryota; Metazoa; Chordata; Amphibia; Anura; Pelobatidae.